This 277-nucleotide ribosomal RNA is filed under the name uncultured bacterium. Its description in RNAcentral is "partial 16S ribosomal RNA". It matches the Rfam family "Bacterial small subunit ribosomal RNA", at positions 594 to 868 of the family's 1533-position model. The record is from RNAcentral.
GUGAAGCCCUCAGCUCAACUGAGGAAGUGCGCCCGAAACUGCCGUUCUUGAGUGUCGGAGAGGGUGACGGAACUCCCGGUGUAGAGGUGAAAUUCGUAGAUAUCGGGAGGAACACCAGUGGCGAAGGCGGUCACCUGGACGAACACUGACGCUGAGACGCGAAAGCGUGGGUAGCAAACAGGAUUAGAUACCCUGGUAGUCCACGCCGUAAACGAUGAGUGCUAGCUGUUGCGGGUAUUGACCCCUGCAGUGCCAAGGGCGAAUUCCACAGUGGAUA